RNAcentral lists this ribosomal RNA (447 nucleotides) under uncultured bacterium. RNAcentral describes it as "bacterial SSU rRNA". It matches the Rfam family "Bacterial small subunit ribosomal RNA", at positions 329 to 793 of the family's 1533-position model. The record is from RNAcentral.
GACCAGACUCCUACGGGAGGCAGCAGUGGGGAAUAUUGCACAAUGGGGGAAACCCUGAUGCAGCAACGCCGCGUGAAGGAAGACGGUUUUCGGAUUGUAAACUUCUGUUCUUAGUGAAGAAGAAUGACGGUAGCUAAGGAGCAAGCCACGGCUAACUACGUGCCAGCAGCCGCGGUAAUACGUAGGGAGCGAGCGUUGUCCGGAAUUACUGGGUGUAAAGGGAGCGUAGGCGGGCUUGUAAGUUGAAUGUCUAAUCCACCGGCUCAACCGGUGAUCGCGUUCAAAACUGCAGGUCUUGAGUGAAGUAGAGGCAGGCGGAAUUCCUAGCGUAGCGGUGAAAUGCGUAGAUAUUAGGAGGAACACCAGUGGCGAAGGCGGCCUGCUGGGCUUUAACUGACGCUGAGGCUCGAAAGCGUGGGGAGCAAACAGGAUUAGAUACCCCCGUAC